Molecule: long non-coding RNA, 4607 nt
Filed under: Sus scrofa (pig)
Lineage: Eukaryota; Metazoa; Chordata; Mammalia; Artiodactyla; Suidae
Description: lncRNA (ENSSSCG00030054857.1)
Source: RNAcentral
GCAUAUGGAAGUUCCCAGGCUAGGGGUCGAAUUGGAGCUGUAGCUGCCAGCCUACAGCACAGCCACAACACCUGGGGAUCUGAGCCAUGGUGUCUGUGACCUACAUCACAGCUCACAGCUACACCAGAUCCUUAACCCACUGAGCAAGGACAGGGAUCGAACUGCAUCCUCAUGGACUAGGUUAAACUUUGUUUCAUAAAAUUUUGAACAAAAGCAUUUGUGAUAUUUCUAAUGGAAGAAAAAAAUCUUUCUAAAAGUUGUAUUUUUCUAAUUCUUCAAAGAGAUGCACACACAAUUCUAUGACCCAUGCAUAGAACCCAUUCUCACUUCGCUAGUAAAUCUAACUUCUGUAACAUUAAAAAAAAGAAAAGAAAAGAAAAAGAAAGUUGCCAUCAAACUUCAACUACCUUAACAAGACCAGCCUUAAGAACAGAAGUAUGAGGGGAAAAAAAACCAAAAACAAAAGAAUUUUUAAGAAUUUUCUCUGUGGGAAGCAGUGCCUGCCUGAAUAGCCAACAAACCAAAUACACAUACAAAGAGACUAGUCAAGAAUCAAUCACUUAGGUAGUCAUGCAGAUCCUUACAGUCAUGAGGAAAAACAUACAAAUGAGGAAUAUGCAAAAUUUCAAUUUGAUAUUUCCUUUGAUCAUUGGAGAAGUUAAUGUUUCCCAACCAUUUAAGGAAAAGUCAGUGGUCUUCUGAGGCAAACAGCUACUGGGAAAAACCCCACCAAAAUAUGUAAUAGGAGACAGAAUACCAGCAAAGGCUUUACACUGUCCCCAAACAGCAACCAGGUUAAUAUCUCAAGCAGCUGUCCUGAUCUCUGUGGUCUAAGCUUUUAACUAACUUUAAUUAAAUGGAACCUUUGGUGUGCAAGGGUACAUAUGCCUGGGAUAUGAAUAAAAGAAACAAACAGCAGAGCCUGGCAUAUGGUUGCAUAUACAUGCAUCAUUUGAUUUUUGAUUUUUUGCAAGGAUAUUUUAACAUUCAUGAGAGGUAAAAAAGAUGAGAGCAGAAAUAAACUUCAUUUUUUGCCUACUAUUCCUACCAUCACAGCUAGUAUUAAAAAACACUAUAAGUCUUAAUUGUCAGAUGCACAAUCUGCAAUGUUUAAAUGGACCCUGUGGAUUUUGGUCCAAAACCAAACCAAUUGGUUGCAAGCUAUUUUUCUCUUCUGUUAGAUGUUCUGCUGCAAUAUUUGCAUAAAUGUAACCGUGCUGUCCGUCUUUUAACUUUUACUCAAUUAAUUAUGCUUCCAGCCCCCUGCUGAUGGACAAAAAUGAGACUUCAUCUGCAAAUAGCUUCUGCAGUUUACAGCUUAUUAAAUGCCAAAAUCUAGUUAAGACAGUUUGAGAAUUCUCAUGUCAGGCAUUUCAACAUGCCAUUUUUAACACAAAAUUCUUAUUAAAAAAAUGAACCCACUACUCCAAGUCAGGGGGAAAAAAAUCACUGGUAUAAAGGUAAUGAACAGAUUAGAAUUUUAUACAAAUUGUGUACUUAGCAUAUGUGGCUUACUCUGAGCACACUUAAUUGGUUUGCCUAAUAAUGAAUCCACUAUGAGAAAGACUACCAAGUUGACAAGAAAAUGGUCUCUACAAAUUACAAACAGCUUUCAUCUAUGGAACCACUUUUAUAAUUUAUAUAAAAGUCUGUGUAUAGUCUGAAAAAAAACACAGAUGAAUGGGAGCUAUAUACUCAAAUAUUCUUUUAAAAAUGACUUUUACUUUGUAUGACAGGUUUUACAUAUUGCAUCAAACAUCUGGUGCAUUCACAAUCUAGAAUUCUUUAUACCAUUUGGGGUUAGAUCUUCAUCUAAUCCAGAAAGAGAAAGAAGAAUAAUAUAUUCAGUGAAGCUAAAUGAAUAGGUAUAACGCAUAACAUUUUGCCUACUACUAUGAAAAGACAACUCAUUCUUUCCAUAAUUCUAUGUGACAAUUUGACCUCCCUGCAGCCCCAUGAGCACACCUAUAAAAUUAAAUAAAAUCAAAAUUUUCUUGAGAAAAUUUUUUUUCAUAAGGUAUGUGGCAUAAAAUACUUGUUUCUAUACACAGCUAUAUUAGAAUGAUAUUUUUAUUAAUAUGAUACAUAUAAUUAUUAUUUUUUAGUUUGGGGAUUGGGGAACAGCAUUCUAUUUAUUCCACUUGAAGGAAUUAAAAUACUUAACGAGUAUGUUUGCACUUAAUUCAGCAUUAAGAAUAUUUUAGUUAUUGCCACAGAAAAGUCAGAUUAGGUUCUUAUGGCAAUUGGCCAUUAGUCUCCAAUCUGAAGUUCUUGAUUUCCUUUCUCAAUCUUAUGGCAUAUCAUGUGGUACUUCACUGUAUUAGAUUUUAUUGACAAAUUGUGUCAUGUUUAUGUUCUUUUCUUAUAAACUACUAUGAUAGAGCUGAACGUGACAUGAUGAUUUAUGACAGAAAUGUCAGAGAUUAUUUUAAAAGCAAUUUCUGUCUGAUCAUAUACCAAUUAACAGCUUUCAUAACAAAUUUCCAAAUAUGUAGUUGGCAUUUGAUCAAAGGAACAUAUUUCAUUGCUGGUAUUUGAAUAUUUGGGACAUAUUAAGGAAAUGCACAUUUCCACUCCAUGGCUAUGAUUGUGGAAGCAUGCAAUGGCUACCAGUAUUGCUCUGACACAAAGCAAUAUUAUAUACCACUUCAGUUACAUGUAAUAACUCCCUUUCUAGCACUUCUGAUAAAAGAGAGGGAAAUACCAAAAAAAGUAAGGUACUUUCUCUUCAGUUUUAAUGAAUCCCAAAUGAUUUCUUACAUAUACUAUUAGCAAUGAGAAAGGUAGAAUUCUAGAACUAGUAGGAACUGAGAUAAUUUUGCUAACCCAGAAAAAAUAAAAAUUUAAAGUGGAGGGAGUUUCCACCAUGGUCUUGUGGGAUUAAGAAUCUGACUGCAGUAGUUCGGGUGGCUGUGGAGGCACAGGUUCAAUCCCCAGAUGGGUAAAGUGAGUUAAAAGAUCGAGCAUUACUACAGGUAUGGCCUGAGGCUUGGAUUCAAUCCCUGGCCCAGGAACUUCCCUGUGCCAUAUGUAAGACCAUAAAAGAAAAAAAAAAAAAGUAGGUGGAGACAUAAAACUUUCUGCAGAUACAUAAAUUGUGUUGUAUAUAUGAUCAAGCAGUUUUAUAAUUCUAGAAUAUCUUGUUUUUGUUUUGUUUUUCUAUAGGUAUUUUGUAGGAAAGGGGAUAUGGAAGAAACUUUGCUUAAUUCACUUUUCCAUUUUAUUGUUUUGUUUUGUUUUGUUUUGCUAAAAAUGUAAGAAUUUGUUCUUGGUCCUCAGAAAGACUUGAAGACUUUAUGAGAAAUAGCUGUGUGUGUGGUGGUAAGUUAUGUUCUUGAGAUGUUUUGUCAGUGUCUACCUAUUGGAAUACAAUAGAAUGUAGAACAAUUGUCAUUGAUCCAUAAGGCAGAUAAUUUGUCCAUUUUAUCUGUUAUAGUUAAAUUCUGAAAAAGUGUCCUGCAAGAGGGUAACAGAUGCCCCAGAUACAUAACUCUAGUAUCACACAUAUAGAAUGUACUAUGGAGGAAAAAAAUACUCACAUGCAGAGAAGAAGCAUGAAACAUAUGGUCCUGAGAAAUUCCAUUAUUCUUGGCACAAGGCAGGCAUAAAUAUCCUACUUAUGUUAUGGUCAAGGUUCUGGCAGAGGAGGCCUGCCUUAACCAGCAGGAUGGAGAUGACAUGUGGUGGAGGGAGCGACACUCCAAGAAGGAACCGGUCUCUCUCUCAGCCCUUACACAUUUAUAGGUUGGCCAAGGAGGUUAGAGGACACUUGACUAAAAGAAAUCUAUCAUCUAGGGGUCUUCAUACUCAGAAAUAACUCUAAGGAUCUUAUACACUCAGGGUGUAUACUUAGCUUGCCUUCCAGGAAUGAUGAAACUAGUCUCAGGCUCUGUCUCUCUACAGGACUGGCCUUCCUCAACCAAGACAGCUCUCUACUUAGAAACCAAAGAGGGGCAGGAAAUAGGCUCCAAUGGCCAUCCAGAUUGGCUUCUAAUCAAACAAAAACUUAGUCUCAAUUUUUUAAUGAGCUUUAAAAGUUCUUUUAGCUCCUCCUACCUGUGCAGGAACUUCACAAAAUGAAUUACAAUUAUGGUUAAAAAAGUUAUACUUUGUUCUCUUACACUCUUCCAGUUUCUUGCUUUUCUUUUUGUUUUCCCUUUAUAGCGAAACUACUCUGAAGAGUUGGUUAUACCUACUAUAUCUUUCUAAACAAACUAGUUAUUAUUAUAUCACUCCAAUGAAUCAGUUCUAACUAAGACCAGUGAUUACUUCCAUAACUCUGAAUCCAAUGUGUAUUAUUUAGGCUUCUACUAUUUUUUGUAAAAUAGUCUUUUCUUGGUUACUUUGACACACACACUCUCCAAGUCUUCCUAAUUCUUCAUAGCCACUACAUUGGACAUUUCUUUGAAAAUCCAUUGUCUGUUUCUUGACUAAUAAAUAGUGGAGAUUUGCAAGGCUUGAUUCUAUUCCAUUUUUUUUUAUCUUCUAGAUAAUCUAGGCAAUUUCAUCAAUGCUCAUUGUUUCAUGACUUUUAAAUCCAUAGAUUCAUUCCACGGAACUCUUCUGAGCUCCAGAAAUGGGUAUCUUCCUGCUACUAGGAUUUCUCA